RNAcentral lists this ribosomal RNA (585 nucleotides) under Pseudomonas sp. StFRB395. RNAcentral's name for it is "bacterial SSU rRNA". It matches the Rfam family "Bacterial small subunit ribosomal RNA", at positions 102 to 683 of the family's 1533-position model. The record is from RNAcentral. Lineage: Bacteria; Pseudomonadati; Pseudomonadota; Gammaproteobacteria; Pseudomonadales; Pseudomonadaceae.
ACGGGUGAGUAAUGCCUAGGAAUCUGCCUGGUAGUGGGGGACAACGUUUCGAAAGGAACGCUAAUACCGCAUACGUCCUACGGGAGAAAGCAGGGGACCUUCGGGCCUUGCGCUAUCAGAUGAGCCUAGGUCGGAUUAGCUAGUUGGUGAGGUAAUGGCUCACCAAGGCGACGAUCCGUAACUGGUCUGAGAGGAUGAUCAGUCACACUGGAACUGAGACACGGUCCAGACUCCUACGGGAGGCAGCAGUGGGGAAUAUUGGACAAUGGGCGAAAGCCUGAUCCAGCCAUGCCGCGUGUGUGAAGAAGGUCUUCGGAUUGUAAAGCACUUUAAGUUGGGAGGAAGGGUUGUAGAUUAAUACUCUGCAAUUUUGACGUUACCGACAGAAUAAGCACCGGCUAACUCUGUGCCAGCAGCCGCGGUAAUACAGAGGGUGCAAGCGUUAAUCGGAAUUACUGGGCGUAAAGCGCGCGUAGGUGGUUUGUUAAGUUGGAUGUGAAAGCCCCGGGCUCAACCUGGGAACUGCAUUCAAAACUGACAGCUAGAGUAUGGUAGAGGGUGGUGGGAAUUUCCUGUGUAGCGGUG